UGGCGGACGGGUGAGUAACGCGUGGAUAACCUGCCGUAUACAGGGGGAUAACACUUAGAAAUAGGUGCUAAUACCGCAUAAGCGCACGGUUUCGCAUGGAACAGUGUGAAAAACUCCGGUGGUAUACGAUGGAUCCGCGUCUGAUUAGCCAGUUGGCGGGGUAACGGCCCACCAAAGCGACGAUCAGUAGCCGGCCUGAGAGGGUGAACGGCCACAUUGGGACUGAGACACGGCCCAAACUCCUACGGAAGGCAGCAG
This 258-nucleotide ribosomal RNA is filed under the name uncultured bacterium. RNAcentral describes it as "partial 16S ribosomal RNA". It matches the Rfam family "Bacterial small subunit ribosomal RNA", at positions 96 to 354 of the family's 1533-position model. The record is from RNAcentral.